GGAAUUUAGGGAUUGGCAGGAAGCCACUCCUUUAACUUAGUUACUACUAUAUGAUUAGUAUGGGGAAAAUACUUGGGGAAGUCCUAGUUUUAAUUAUUGCAUGCCUAUUUUUAGCAGCAGGAUAUUAAGUAAAUGUUUUGUAAAUUAAAGAUUUUAACGGGAUUCUGCAUAGAACCCUAGAAAAUUACCAAAGGUUAACAAAUUCCACAACUAUAGUUAGAUGUGACUAAUGAUAUUAUUUUAAGUUGGGAACUAUUUUUAGACAUUGCGCAAUUGUGAUUCACAUGUUGUUUAAAAAGCAUCAUCAUGAUGACGAAUGGUCAGUUCAGAUAAGAAAAAAGAAAUUAUACUGUUGUGGUCAUUUACAAGAACGGAGUGAAUCGUGACACUUUUCAACCUUUUAAUUAUUAUUUAAAUGGAUUAAGGCGUUUAUUAUUACUUUUUUUUUAAUGUUAUCUAUGGAUACGAGAAGUCAUAUAUUUAAUCGUUCGGCUUUUUCGAUACAAAUUGUGCGAAAAAUCAUGUCGUUAAUGAUAUCUUUAUUAAAAACAGUGUGUUACGUAAUACCAUGUACAUACGUAAACAUUCCAGCAAUCGAUACAUUCUUUAGGAAGACGACUGGUAUGGUAAGUUUAAUCGAAUUGUAUGUAAACAAUAAUUUCUGUUUCUGACGUAUACAGCUGUUGUAAUACUUGAUCAUUUACUCAAUAUAACACAUAGCAAAAAUACGAUUCUCGAAUUAAACAAGGAUGUGAGAUGAUAAGGAUAUUUUUCUGUCAUUAAAACAGCAAUAUGAAAUGAAUUCGCUUGGAUGAAUUUAUGUUCAAAGAUAAAAAAAAAAUAAAAAAAUACAUUCAUACUUAAUCCAAAACUGAAACAGAAUAUACGUUUAGAGUGCUGGAUCAAUAAUUGCUCUUGGAACACCCAAAAGUGCUAAAUUAAAAGGAAAAAAAUGAAAGAAAAAAAUCGUUUUAUUUUAAAAUCAUUAAACGUUACCUAUGCUUAUAUAUAUGUGUGUGUAUGUGUUUCUGGUGGAAGAAUGUUUAUUCCAAGUAAAAAUUAACCAGAAGAUAUUGUAUUCUCAAUAGUCCCUUAGAUGUAAAGGAUAUUUAACCACCUUAUAUGCUAUAAACAAAAACAUCUUUGAAGAGAGAAAACUUAUUCUUUUAAAAGAGAUAAAGCAUACCACAAACUAUUCAUUUGGUAAUGAAUUCCAUUUAUAUCGUGCAGGCACUUCGGUUGAAGAAAUAAAUCGUUGUGCGGAAAUCGUGUUUUGAAUAUUAUCCAAGUAAUUUUGCUUGUGCACUUUGUUAGUAUUUAAAAAAUGUAUAAUACUGUUUUAAUAUAGUUUUUAAUCCUGUACCAAGUCAGAAAUAUGACAGUUGUUAUCUAAUAUUUUAUUCUAUGUAUUGACGUUUGGUUUUGUUGCACUUCAGUGUUUCUGUUGUUCCGUUGUUUUCUUCUUAUAGUUGAUGUGUUUCCCUCGGCUUUAGUUUACAACUCUAAUUUGUUUUGGCUCAAUCGAUUUAUGACUUUUGAACAGCGGUAUUACUACUGUUGACUUUAUUUAAACUAUGUCAGUAACAUAUUAUUUUAUUCAAAUAUUUGCUCUACAACAUAUGUACAAAUGAUAUUGUUUUUAUUCGAGCGCCAUGGGUGAGUCUCAUGCAGACAUAACGCGAGUCUAACGUAAGAAAUCAUAAGCCUUGUAUCUUUGAUCAGCUUUUCCAACCAUCGAAUCAGACCCACUACUAGUUGAAUUUAAAUUUGGAAUAUCAUUGAUAUGAUCAUUUUCUGUUUAUUGACAUUCAAGUUAUUCGUAACACUAAGCUUGUUUUAUACGCAGACAUAGAUAGCCUUACACGUAUUUGGUUCAACUUUUCAUAAUUGUUUGGAUGAAAUGCUGUUCUUUUGUGUCAAACAUACCUUAACGUUUUUAAAAUUCUGUCGAUGCACUUGUAUCACUCCUUUUGGAGUUAAUAAGUUCCCUCAUGUUUUGUUUGUUAUCUUCAUUUGUUUUGUCUUUAUAUUUUGUAGAAUUGAACAUUGGUAAUUUGCUGUUGCUUAAAUUUACUCGUUUAGUAACACAGUACUAAUAAUUAGUUCUUAACUAGAGUCUCUAAAUGUAUUUUGUUUUUUUGUCGUUGAGAUGUCACUUCCUUCCCUAAACGUCUUUGUGCAUAUCAUAUCAUGAUUUUUGUAACAGUAAAGUUCACUACCUAAUGAAUAAUUAAAAUGUUAAUUUCAAACUCUAAGUAUUAAUCUAGUACUAUAGAGUUCUGUUACUGCAAUAUUAUAUCUUUCACGUUUUCAAAAGACUUUUACGCUGGAAUCAAAAAGUUGAGAAGCCAAAUAACGCACGAAGUUGAAGAGCACUACGGAUCUUAAUUACCGAAUGGUUUUGCCAAUUGCAACAAAGGUAGUAUGUUCCUUUGGUAGAAAAUCCUAAGUAUUAGAAACAAUUUAAUUUUUUGUAAAAGUUAAUUUAUAGGUAAGACUAUGUCACUGAUAAAUAAUUUCAACAGAGAAGUGUUAAUUACUUGGCUAGUGUUGCCAUCGGAGAAUGGUUUGAAAGUACUUAAACCGAAUAUUGCAGUAUCAAGGGGCAUUUUCAGUACUUAAUAAUAGUAAAAAUAAUUUUAAAAAGCUAGGAUUUAUUUGAUAUGCACGAAAAAAGAAUCAUUUAAGUAGCAUUGAUACAAAGUACAUUCAUUCAAUCCCUAUUAAAUUCCUUUAAAAGGUCUAUUUAUAAAAUCUUAAAUAUAGAAAGGCGUGAUACAACCGAUACACCAUAUAAAAUCACUUAUUAUUUUAAAAGUUCAUUUAUUCAUUAAGUCAUGUCAUUAUCUUAUAAAAAAAAAACGUGACCUAAAUGUCAUUCAGAUGCACUUGAAAAUAUCCUCCUUUCGUUUGCCAUGUGAUCGAAGUGUUGUAUUAUUAAUUAAUAAGUAUUCAGAGAAACAUCUCAAGCAUCAAAUGACAGCUUUAUGAUCAGUUCUUGGAGAAAGAAAUCAUCUAAAACAUUUGUAAAGGCACAAGUAAGUAUACACGAUUUUUUUCUAUAACACAAAAAUCUUUUUAAUAAAUAAUUCAUAGAACAAACUAUUGUCAGUCAUGAACAAACUGAUACUUUCAAUUUCCCUUGAGUCAUAAUUCCCGCUUAAACAUCAUUUUUUUUUAUUGCCGGCAGCACGAAAAGUUAAGUUCUAAGACUCUGCAUAGACUGGCAUAGAAAUAAACAAAAAAAUCAAAUAAGAAACAAAAACAAGUAUAGAUAAUUGCUUAUUUGGCACAUAAUUUGAAGUAAGACACAAAAAUAGAACGAAGUCUAAAAAUGGUAUGAAUUAAAACUUAAAACAAUGAAAAUUGGCAUUUGAAUACCAAUUACCAUACACUAUAUGAUCAAAGAAUGUUAAAGAAUUCAGACAGCAUUGUUUGAAUAUUUCCCACUCGAAUAUGCUUUAUUAGUUAUAGUUCUAGUGAUUGGCACAUUUUUAAUAUAGAUUCGAAUGAUAAUAAAAGAAGUAACGCUAUAACAAAGUGACAAUCAAAAUGAUAUACACUAUGGAAAAAGAAAAAUAGAACGUUAGAAAAUCAACAGUCCACAAAAAAAUUCAUAUUCCACUGACCGAGUUUAAAGAGAGAGAAUUUUUACUGCAUUGACUUUUAUUUCAAUCAAUUUGAACGUUCCUGGUGAAGAUAAAUCAUGGAAAGUACUUCGGAUUUAUGAAAUAAUGGUCUAGAG
RNAcentral lists this long non-coding RNA (3745 nucleotides) under Mytilus galloprovincialis (Mediterranean mussel). Lineage: Eukaryota; Metazoa; Mollusca; Bivalvia; Mytilida; Mytilidae. The record is from RNAcentral.